GACGGGGACCCGCACAAGCGGUGGAUGAUGUGGAUUAAUUCGAUGCAACGCGAAGAACCUUACUACCCUUGACAUGUCCGGAACUUGCCAGAGAUGGCUUGGUGCCCGAAAGGGAAUCGGAACACAGGUGCUGCAUGGCUGUCGUCAGCUCGUGUCGUGAGAUGUUGGGUUAAGUCCCGCAACGAGCGCAACCCUUAUCAUUAGUUGCUACGCAAGGGCACUCUAAUGAGACUGCCGGUGACAAACCGGAGGAAGGUGGGGAUGACGUCAAGUCCUCAUGGCCCUUAUGGGUAGGGCUUCACACGUCAUACAAUGGUCGGUACAGAGGGUUGCCAAGCCGCGAGGCGGAGCCAAUCCCACAAAGCCGAUCGUAGUCCGGAUUGUUCUCUGCAACUCGAGAGCAUGAAGUCGGAAUCGCUAGUAAUCGCAGGUCAGCAUACUGCGGUGAGUACGUUCCCGGGUCUU
RNAcentral lists this ribosomal RNA (465 nucleotides) under uncultured Thiobacillus sp. RNAcentral describes it as "bacterial SSU rRNA". It matches the Rfam family "Bacterial small subunit ribosomal RNA", at positions 912 to 1382 of the family's 1533-position model. The record is from RNAcentral. Lineage: Bacteria; Pseudomonadati; Pseudomonadota; Betaproteobacteria; Nitrosomonadales; Thiobacillaceae.